CAGAUCUGUCCUGCUGCAGCCUUUCCUGUAGAUCUGUUGAUGGAGAUCUCACCCACACCUCAAACGACCUCAGAUCAACUCCAGAUCUGAGAGAGACUUGUACCAACCUCUUGUCAAGAGAUUUUAGAUCCUACACCUGGUAUUUGGGUGCCUGUAAGAGAGGGGAGAGAAGAAAUGGCUGGCAGCUGCAAAGGGGGGAAG
This 201-nucleotide long non-coding RNA is filed under the name Elaeis guineensis (African oil palm). Its description in RNAcentral is "long non-coding RNA (EGUI_LNC051716)". Lineage: Eukaryota; Viridiplantae; Streptophyta; Magnoliopsida; Arecales; Arecaceae. The record is from RNAcentral.